Molecule: ribosomal RNA, 272 nt
Filed under: uncultured bacterium
Lineage: Bacteria
Description: partial 16S ribosomal RNA
Rfam family: Bacterial small subunit ribosomal RNA
Source: RNAcentral
CGUGCCAGCAGCCGCGGUAAUACGAAGGGUGCAAGCGUUACUCGGAAUUACUGGGCGUAAAGCGCGCGCAGGCGGCUAUUUAAGUCUUAUGUAUAAACCCAAGGCUCAACCUUGGAUCGCAUGGGAAACUGGGUGGCUUGAGUGUAGGAGAGGAAAGUGGAAUUCCACGUGUAGCGGUGAAAUGCGUAGAUAUGUGGAGGAACACCAGUGGCGAAGGCGACUUUCUGGCCUAUAACUGACGCUGAGGCGCGAAAGCGUGGGGAGCAAACAGG